Molecule: ribosomal RNA, 882 nt
Filed under: Paracamarosporium sp. 1 PWC-2017
Lineage: Eukaryota; Fungi; Ascomycota; Dothideomycetes; Pleosporales; Didymosphaeriaceae
Also listed under: 1 other name
Description: eukaryotic LSU rRNA
Rfam family: Eukaryotic large subunit ribosomal RNA
Source: RNAcentral
ACCAACAGGGAUUGCCCUAGUAACGGCGAGUGAAGCGGCAACAGCUCAAAUUUGAAAUCUGGCUCUCUUUGGGGGUCCGAGUUGUAAUUUGCAGAGGAUGCUUUGGCAUUGGCGGCGGUCUAAGUUCCUUGGAACAGGACAUCGCAGAGGGUGAGAAUCCCGUACGUGGGCGCCUGCCUUUGCCGUGUAAAGCUCCUUCGACGAGUCGAGUUGUUUGGGAAUGCAGCUCUAAAUGGGAGGUAAAUUUCUUCUAAAGCUAAAUACCGGCCAGAGACCGAUAGCGCACAAGUAGAGUGAUCGAAAGAUGAAAAGUACUUUGGAAAGAGAGUCAAAAAGCACGUGAAAUUGUUGAAAGGGAAGCGCUUGCAGCCAGACUUGCCCGCAGUUGCUCACCUAGGCUUUGGCCUGGGGCACUCUUCUGCGGGCAGGCCAGCAUCAGUUUGGGCGGUUGGAUAAAGGCCUCUGUCACGUAUCUUCCUUCGGGAUGACCUUAUAGGGGAGGCGUAAUGCAACCAGCCCGGACUGAGGUCCGCGCAUCUGCUAGGAUGCUGGCGUAAUGGCUGUAAGCGGCCCGUCUUGAAACACGGACCAAGGAGUCUAACAUCUAUGCGAGUGUUUGGGUGUCAAGCCCGGGCGCGCAAUGAAAGUGAACGGAGGUGGGAACCCUUUGGGUGCACCAUCGACCGAUCCUGAUGUCUUCGGAUGGAUUUGAGUAAGAGCAUAGCUGUUGGGACCCGAAAGAUGGUGAACUAUGCUUGAAUAGGGUGAAGCCAGAGGAAACUCUGGUGGAGGCUCGCAGCGGUUCUGACGUGCAAAUCGAUCGUCAAAUUUGGGCAUAGGGGCGAAAGACUAAUCGAACCAUCUAGUAGCUGGUUCCUGCCG